Erinaceus europaeus (western European hedgehog) is the source of this 2595-nucleotide long non-coding RNA. RefSeq lists it as uncharacterized. Lineage: Eukaryota; Metazoa; Chordata; Mammalia; Eulipotyphla; Erinaceidae. The record is from RefSeq and is a predicted model, not a curated record. The transcript is spliced from 4 exons.
GCAGGUCUGCAGGUGUCUUUCUCUCCACCCUCUGUCUUCCCCUCCUCUCUCCAUUUCUCUGUCCUAUCCAACAACGAUGACAUCAAUAACAACAACAAUAAUAACUACAACAAUAAAAUAAGAGCAACAAAAGGGAAUAAAUAAAUAUUAAAAAAAAGAUUUACAGGGAGUCGGGCGAUAGUGCAGCGGGUUAAGCACAGGUGGCGCAAAGCACAAGGACCAGCUUAAGGAUAUCGAUUCGAGCCCCAGGCUCCCCACCUGCAGGGGAGUCGCUUCUCAGGCGGUGAAGCAGGUCUGCAGGUGUCUAUCUUUCCUCACCCCCUCUCUGUCUUCCCCUCCUCUCUCCAUUUCUCUCUGUCCUAUCCAACAAAUGACGACAUCAAUAACAACAGUAAUAACUACAACAAUUAAAAUAAACAAAUAAAUAAAUAAAUAUAAAAAAAGAUUUACAUGGCCUGGGGAGAUAACAUAAUGGUUAUACAAGAAGCCUUCCAUACCUGAGGCACCCAAAGGCACAGGUUCAAUCCCCAGUACUACCAUAAACCAGAGCUAUGCAAUGCUCUAGUAAAAAUAAAAAGAGAGAGACUGAAUUUAAAAAGAUUUACUUAUUUUAUUAAUGCAAGAGAGAAGGAGGAGGAGAAGAAGAAAGAAGCAGUAAAGGAAGAGAAGGAAAGAAAAAAGAAUGAAUGGAAGAAAGGAGAGACCACUACUCCAGCAUAUACUAGACUCAAACACUCUCCUGUUCAACCUCCCAGGCUGCUUUCUUUCUUCCCUUCUUCUUCUCCAUUCUCCUCCUCUACCUCUUCCUCCUUUAUUUUUGCCACGAGAGUUACUAAUGAGAGAGAAAUACAGAAAGACAGAGAAAGAUCAGAGCACUGCUCAACUCUGCUUUGUGGUGGUGCUGGGGAUUGAACCUGGGACCUCAGAGGCUCAUGUAUGGAAGCCUUCUGCAGAACCAUUACGCUAUCUCCCCAGUCCAGUUGGAAUGUUUUACACAUUUCAUAGGACAGGAAUUAAAAUAGUCAAUUAUACUGCUAGUUGUACAUAUAAACCACUGCCUAUGUUUACAUUUAUUGAUAUUACCUCCAGGAUUCUCUCUGGGGAUUGUGCCUGUGUAGAAUCCAGUGCUCUUAGGGCCUCAGGUAAAUACAAUGUUAUAGCUUUGUCCUUUCUGAGUGAUAGUUUUCAUUAUUUUUAGAGAAAGAAAAAGACAUAGAAAAGAGAGAUACCAUAACACCAUUCCACCGUCUACGGAGCUGUUUUCCUGUUGUCUGUGGUGCUGCCAUGUGAUGCCGAGGCUUUAACCCCAGACUUUGUGCUUGAGAUAGAGAAACACAGAGGAAGAGCGGGAGAGAGGAGAGACACCUGCAGCUCUACUCCAUCACUUGUAAAACUUCUCCCCCACCAGUGCAGGUGGGCACUGAGGGCUUGAACCCAGGUCCUUGAGCAUGCCAGGUAAACCACCACCUCCUUCCCCUCCACCCCCCAGAUGUAUAAGGAGCUCCAGGAGAGUGAGGGCUUUGCUGUGGGGGCUGCUGCAUCCCAACUCUGGCCAGGAGGAGGCACAUGGUAAGUGUUUCCCCCGCAUCCGCUGGGUAAAGUCAAGGAAUGAAUACUCCAUGUUUCUGAGGUCAUCAUUUGUGUUCUUUUGAUUUACCCUUGGCUGGGAUGUGCUUUUGAACAUUGCUGGAAUGAAAUGAGAACAAAGCUGUAGUUAUUCAGAUAAAUCCGGAUUAAGUUAUAUAUUUUUUGUUUUGUUUUUGUUUUGUUUUGUUUUCUUGCUGAAGGCACUUGCCCUUUCUCUGAGUCACCUGAUCACAGAACAAGGGUUUGUUGAAGUCCAGAAAGUAAGCUAAGCCCCACGUUUGAUUUAUGACAGUCAAACAAGAUGUACAGCCAGUAACUGCUCUUACUACGCCCCAAGUCCUGACUCCCAGCUGCCAGUUGGACACUGUGGGGUUGCCCUUUGCCAGGCCCCACUGCCCAGGGUUGCCUCCUGUUCUGAAAGGCACCCCAUGAGGUGCUCAGAUCACUGACACUGCCCCUCAGAGGCUCCUGGCAACCUGAGAAAGUGACCACCAGGCAGGCUUGUUCUUUCUCUGACUCAGGCAGAACUCACGCGGGCCAGGGCUACUUGUCCUCUGUCUGUCACCAGACUCUUCCUUCCACUUCACCCCCUACUCCCUGGGAAUGAUGGAGCUGUGGUUCAGAGUGCAAGGAUCUGAUCCCAGUGCUCUUCCCAGACCAUCACCAGCCACUGUGAGACAUCUCCCAGAGGUUUAUUGCAGGGCUCGGUGCCUGCACCAUGAAUCCACCGCUCCUGGAGGCCAUUUUUCCCCUUUUGUUGCCCUAGUUGUUGCAGCCUCAUUGCGGUUAUUAUUGCCAUUGUUGACGUUGCUUUGUUGUUGGAUAGGACAGAGAGAAAUGGAGAGAGGAGGGGAAGACAGAGAGAGAGGGGAGAGAAAGACAGACACCUGCAGACCUGCUUCACCGCCCGUGAAGCGACUCCCCUGCAGGUGGGGAGCUGGGGGCUUGAACCGGGAUCCUUAUGCCGGUCCCUGCGCUUUGCGCCACGUGCGCUUAACCCACUGUGCC